Schistosoma rodhaini is the source of this 45-nucleotide non-coding RNA. The record is from Rfam. NCBI's taxonomy places the organism in Eukaryota, Metazoa, Platyhelminthes, Trematoda, Strigeidida, Schistosomatidae.
AUCCAACUAAUGAGUUCAAAAUAGGACGAAACGUGCGUCCUUUAU